Molecule: long non-coding RNA, 609 nt
Organism: Rhododendron vialii
Lineage: Eukaryota; Viridiplantae; Streptophyta; Magnoliopsida; Ericales; Ericaceae
Exons: 2
Source: RefSeq, a predicted model, not a curated record
CCGUACAAUUCUGGAAUUAUGAGACAAAAUGGAAAGGAUUGACAUAGGAUAAGGUUAUCAACAAAAAGUUGACCAAUGUACACAGUUCGUACUGUCAUGUCUAUGGUUAACUAAUUAUUGGGCAUUCAUUUUAGCUCAGUGUUCAGAAAUGUGACUCUAGGAUCCUUCGGGAGAUUGAGUAUAAAGUACAAGUUUCACUUGAGCUAGCAUUAGUUUCUUUGGUUAGUUUUGCUUUUACUCUCUUUGCUACCUGGGCUGAAUUCAAGUAAUGGAAGAGUGUUUUGUGCGUUGCAUUACUUUAAAAUUGGUUUUAUGUAUUCUUGUUAUUAUGUUUAUUGUGUUCCUUUGACAGUUUUAUGCUUGCAGUUCUGUAUUUGUCAUUGGGAGCAAAGAGGUGAUGAAUCGCAAAGAAGCACGUUUCGAGUAUGGAAAAUUUGCAGAUGAAGAAUAGGGGAUAUUUGAACAAGAUGGUUUGCCUUGUACAUCAUUACAUUUUCUUAAAGUGAGAUGCAUUUGUGUAUUUUAUGAAAACCAUGUAAUUACUUUGACUAUUUUGUGUGAUUUUGGGUGGAAACUAUUUCCAAAUCUGAUGUAAUGAAUCAUUGUGCA